CCUACGGGUGGCUGCAGUGGGGAAUAUUGCGCAAUGGGCGAAAGCCUGACGCAGCGACGCCGCGUGAGGGAUGAAGGUCUUCGGAUCGUAAACCUCUGUCAGCAGGGAAGAACGGUCACUGUGCUAAUCAGCAGUGAAUUGACGGUACCUGCAAAGGAAGCACCGGCUAACUCCGUGCCAGCAGCCGCGGUAAUACGGUGGGUGCGUGCGUUAAUCGGAAUUACUGGGCGUAAAGCGCUCGUAGGCGGUAUGUCAAGUCAAGGGGGAAAUCCCCGCGCUCAACGUGGGAACUGCCUUUGAAACUGGCAAACUGGAGUGUGUGAGAGGAUAGUGGAAUUCCAGGUGUAGGAGUGAAAGCCGUAGAUAUCUGGAGGAACAUCAGUGGCGAAGGCGACUAUCUGGCACAUAACUGACGCUGAGGAGCGAAAGCGUGGGUAGCAAACAGGAUUGGAUACCCCAGUAGUC
RNAcentral lists this ribosomal RNA (465 nucleotides) under uncultured bacterium. RNAcentral's name for it is "partial 16S ribosomal RNA". It matches the Rfam family "Bacterial small subunit ribosomal RNA", at positions 338 to 795 of the family's 1533-position model. The record is from RNAcentral.